Molecule: ribosomal RNA, 211 nt
Filed under: uncultured bacterium
Lineage: Bacteria
Description: partial 16S ribosomal RNA
Rfam family: Bacterial small subunit ribosomal RNA
Source: RNAcentral
AGUUCGGAUUGAAGGCUGAAAUUCGCCUUCAUGAAGCUGGAAUUGCUAGUAAUGGCAGGUCAGCAUACUGCCGUGAAUACGUUCCCGGGCCUUGUACACACCGCCCGUCACACCAUGAGAGUUGGAAAUACCCGAAGCCUGUGAGCUAACUGUAAAGAGGCAGCAGUCGAAGGUAGAGCCAAUGAUUGGGGUGAAGUCGUAACAAGGUAUC